RNAcentral lists this transfer RNA (68 nucleotides) under Cephalopina titillator. Its description in RNAcentral is "tRNA-Ser". Lineage: Eukaryota; Metazoa; Arthropoda; Insecta; Diptera; Oestridae. The record is from RNAcentral.
AGAAGUAUGGUGACCAAAAAAAGCCGCUAACUUUUUAUUGUAAUGGUUAAAUUCCAUUUAUACUUCUC